This 469-nucleotide ribosomal RNA is filed under the name uncultured bacterium. RNAcentral describes it as "partial 16S ribosomal RNA". It matches the Rfam family "Bacterial small subunit ribosomal RNA", at positions 28 to 507 of the family's 1533-position model. The record is from RNAcentral.
GACGAACGCUGGCGGCGUGCUUAACACAUGCAAGUCGAACGGAAAGGCCCUGCUUGCAGGGUGCUCGAGUGGCGAACGGGUGAGUAACACGUGGGUGAUCUGCCCCUUACUUUGGGAUAAGCCUGGGAAACUGGGUCUAGUACUGGAUAGGACCAUGCUGUAGGUGGUGUGGUGGAAAGAUUAGUUUCGGUAAGGGAUGAGCUCGCGGCCUAUCAGCUUGUUGGUGGGGUAAUGGCCUACCAAGGCGUCGACGGGUAGCCGGCCUGAGAGGGUGGACGGCCACAUUGGGACUGAGAUACGGCCCAGACUCCUACGGGAGGCAGCAGUGGGGAAUAUUGCACAAUGGGCGCAAGCCUGAUGCAGCGACGCCGCGUGGGGGAUGACGGGCUUCGGGUUGUAAACUCCUUUCAGCCAUGACGAAGCCCUUGUGGUGACGGUAGUGGUAGAAGAAGCACCGGCUAACUACGUG